GACGAACGCUGGCGGCGUGCUUAACACAUGCAAGUCGAACGGAAAGGCCCUGCUUUUGUGGGGUGCUCGAGUGGCGAACGGGUGAGUAACACGUGAGUAACCUGCCCUUGACUUUGGGAUAACUUCAGGAAACUGGGGCUAAUACCGGAUAGGAGCUCCUGCUGCAUGGUGGGGGUUGGAAAGUUUCGGCGGUUGGGGAUGGACUCGCGGCUUAUCAGCUUGUUGGUGGGGUAGUGGCUUACCAAGGCUUUGACGGGUAGCCGGCCUGAGAGGGUGACCGGCCACAUUGGGACUGAGAUACGGCCCAGACUCCUACGGGAGGCAGCAGUGGAGAAUAUUGCACAGUGGGCGGAAGCCUGAUGCGACAGCGCCGCGUGCGGGAUGACGGCCUUCGGGUUGUAAACCGCUUUCGCCUGUGACGAAGCGUGAGUGACGGUAAUGGGUAAAGAAGCACCGGCUAACUACGUG
RNAcentral lists this ribosomal RNA (468 nucleotides) under uncultured bacterium. Its description in RNAcentral is "partial 16S ribosomal RNA". It matches the Rfam family "Bacterial small subunit ribosomal RNA", at positions 28 to 507 of the family's 1533-position model. The record is from RNAcentral.